AAGACGCCAGUAGAACGCGACAAAUACACCGCCUUGUCGAGGCGAAAUUGCGAGUUUAAACCCCGCACGUCUA
RNAcentral lists this transfer RNA (73 nucleotides) under Epinephelus flavocaeruleus (blue and yellow grouper). Its description in RNAcentral is "tRNA-Asp". Lineage: Eukaryota; Metazoa; Chordata; Actinopteri; Perciformes; Serranidae. The record is from RNAcentral.